This 508-nucleotide ribosomal RNA is filed under the name uncultured bacterium. RNAcentral describes it as "bacterial SSU rRNA". It matches the Rfam family "Bacterial small subunit ribosomal RNA", at positions 15 to 518 of the family's 1533-position model. The record is from RNAcentral.
GAUCCUGGCUCAGGAUGAACGCUAGCGGCAGGCUAACACAUGCAAGUCGAGGGGCAGCGGGAUGUAGCAAUACAUUGCCGGCGACCGGCGGAUGGGUGCGUAACGCGUAUGCAACCUACCUUAUACAGGGGAAUAACCUUUCGAAAGGGAGACUAACACCCCAUGGUAUUGAUUUAAGGCAUCUUAGAUUAAUUAAAUAUUUAUAGGUAUAAGAUGGGCAUGCGUAUGAUUAGCUAGUUGGUAAGGUAACGGCUUACCAAGGCGACGAUCAUUAGGGGUUCUGAGAGGAAGGUCCCCCACACUGGUACUGAGACACGGACCAGACUCCUACGGGAGGCAGCAGUGAGGAAUAUUGGUCAAUGGGCGCAAGCCUGAACCAGCCAUGCCGCGUGCAGGAAGACGGCCUUAUGGGUUGUAAACUGCUUUACAUAAGACUAACCGUAUAUUUGCGAAUAUACCUGAAUGUAUUAUGAGAAUAAGGAUCGGCUAACUCCGUGCCAGCCGCCGC